RNAcentral lists this ribosomal RNA (451 nucleotides) under uncultured bacterium. RNAcentral describes it as "partial 16S ribosomal RNA". It matches the Rfam family "Bacterial small subunit ribosomal RNA", at positions 28 to 507 of the family's 1533-position model. The record is from RNAcentral.
GAUGAACGCUGGCGGCGUGCCUAACACAUGCAAGUCGAGCGGCAGCGAGGGGUGCUUGCACCCUGUCGGCGAGCGGCGGACGGCGGAGGAACGCGUGGGAAGGUGCCCCAAAGUGAGGAAUAACUGCCCGAAAGGGUAGCUAAUACCGCAUAUUAUCUUCGGAUCAAAGGAUUUAUCCGCUUUGGGAGCGGCUCGCGUCGGAUUAGGUAGUUGGUGAGGUAAUGGCUCACCAAGCCGACGAUCCGUAGCUGGUCUGAGAGGAUGACCAGCCAGACUGGAACUGAGACACGGUCCAGACUCCUACGGGAAGCAGCAGUGAGGAAUCUUCCACAAUGGGCGAAAGCCUGAUGGAGCAACGCCGCGUGCAGGACGAAGGCCUUCGGGUUGUAAACUGCUUUUAUAAGUGAGGAAUAUGACGGUAACUGAUGAAUAAGGAUCGGCUAACUACGUG